UACAAACCUGCCCCGGUUGUCCCGGUUUUAAUCCGGCAGAAUCCGGACAAGAUCUUCACAACGACGUCGUAUUCAUCUAAUGUUUCAUUUCACUCUUCUUCAGCUCAACCAACUAACUUUAUUUGCUCUUUUUGCAACUUGACUUACACAUUAAAGAGAUCUGUUUGUAUAUCUCUAUCUAUCUAUUUAUCUAAACCCAUCACUUUUAAUUUGCUACCCACAACUACUAUAUUAUAUAUAUUGUAUAUAUAUCUUUUUGAAAAGUGUGAUGCAGUGAGUAAAAAUUAAUAAUGGGUUUUUCGAGAUAUUGUUGGGUUAUAUCAUUAGUGAUUGUAUUGCUUAGUAAGAGUCAUACUCAAGUGAGUGCUGGUGACAUUGUUCAUGAUGACAAAUUGGCCCCCAAGAAACCUGGUUGUGAGAAUGAUUUUGUCCUGGUAAAAGUUCAAACUUGGGUUGAUGGUGUGGAAGGUGAUGAGUUCGUCGGCGUUGGUGCUAGAUUUGGAACUACCAUUGUAUCUAAGGAGAAAAAUGCAGAUCGAACAAAAAUUACACAAUCAGACCCUCGUGAUUGUUGCAGCCCACCAAAGAAAAAGCUUACGGGUGAUGUUAUCAUGGUGACCCGAGGUCACUGCCGAUUCACAACAAAGGCAAACAUUGCACAAGCUGCUGGUGCUUCAGCAGUCCUUAUAAUAAAUAACCAAAGAGAACUCUACAAGAUGGUUUGUGAGCCUGAUGAAACUGAUCUAGACAUACACAUACCAACCGUUAUGCUUCCACAAGAUGCCGGUUUGAAGUUAGAGAGAAUGUUGUCAAAUCGUUCAUCAAUUUCUGUGCAGUUGUACUCACCACGAAGACCUGUGGUUGACAUAGCCGAGGUAUUUCUAUGGCUGAUGGCUGUUGGUACCAUCUUGUGUGCCUCUUAUUGGUCUGCAUGGAGUGCUAAUGAAGCAGCUAUAGAACAUGAUAAAUUACUUGAGGAUUUUUCAGGGGACCUUUCAAACACAAAGUUUUCUGGUACAAGUGGCGUCGUGGAAGUCGAUACAAAAUCAGCAAUUUUGUUUGUAAUAAUUGCUUCUUGCUUCUUGGUUCUCCUUUACAAAUUAAUGUCCGAAUGGUUCAUUGAACUUUUGGUAGUCAUCUUCUGUGUAGGAGGCGUAGAGGGAUUGCAAACAUGCAUAGUUGCUUUGCUAUCAAGGUGGUUCAAACAUGCUGCCCAAUCUUUCAUUAAAGUCCCGUUCUUUGGAGCUGUUUCAUAUCUUACCUUAGCUGUUAUGCCAUUCUGCAUAGUCUUUGCUGUUCUCUGGGCAGUGUAUCGUGAAUCUAAGUUUGCAUGGAUUGGUCAAGAUAUACUUGGAAUUGCACUGAUAAUUACAGUACUUCAGAUUGUGCAUGUACCUAAUCUCAAGAUUGGAACGGUUCUGCUAGGUUGUGCCUUUUUGUAUGACAUAUUUUGGGUUUUCAUUUCCAAAAAAUUGUUCCAUGAAAGUGUGAUGAUUGUGGUGGCUCGUGGUGACAAUAGUGGGGAGGAUGGUAUUCCAAUGCUAUUAAAGAUACCACGCAUGUUUGACCCAUGGGGCGGCUUUAGUAUCAUUGGCUUUGAUAUGAUUGGUUGGCGAAAAAGCGUAUUCGAGCUGGAUAUUUCUUGUGGGCGAUGUUUGCUUACGGACUAGGUCUCCUUGUAACUUAUAUAGCAUUGAAUCUGAUGGAUGGCCAUGGUCAGCCAGCUUUGCUAUACAUCGUUCCCUUCACUCUUGGAACCCUUUUGACAUUGGGAAAAAGGAGGGGAGAUCUCGAGAUUCUAUGGUCAAGUGGUGAACCCGAAAGGGAAUGUCCACAUGUCCGGCUUGGCCACUCUCAUGCACCAGAUGAGUAGAAAAGUAGUUAUGCUUAUCUGUAAUUAACAGUGUGUCUAUGUCAAACUUUUUAUCUAUGUAGUAGAAAAAGCCAUUGAAGAUCAAAAAAGUUGUGGUUAACUGAGCCUAACUUUCAUGAUCAAGAAAUGUUGUGCAUAUGCUGAUUUAUGUUACAUUCAUCCUCUCUUUCCUUCCAUCCGAUGAACUAUGGAAUUGACUCGUCGUGUUAGCUCGGUUUUGGAUUGUGCAAGGAAAUGUCAUGGAUGUAUUUGUUCAAUCGAUAGUAGUAUUAUACAAAA
Molecule: RNA transcript, 2152 nt
Organism: Erigeron canadensis
Lineage: Eukaryota; Viridiplantae; Streptophyta; Magnoliopsida; Asterales; Asteraceae
Gene name: signal peptide peptidase-like 2
Exons: 14
Source: RefSeq, a predicted model, not a curated record